GAUGAAAUUGAAAUAGGAUGAAAGCAAAACUUGAAACCGUCCAAAACCCACCAUGGCCCUCAAACUUGGAAACGCAUUUCCUCCCCUCCCAUGUUUCGCAGAGCAAGAAUCCUCAUCUACUCACUGCAUAAAAAGGGAGGAAGAUUGAAGGAAAAAGAACUGGAGCAAUCAAUAUUGGAACGCCCAGUCUGCUCAUCAAUCUGUCAUUAGUUCAAGAACUCGAAGUCCAGAAUUGCUUUAAUGACUCCGGUUCCAUGCUUUCUGUUUAAUAAUCUUCAAUCUGUAGAGCAUCAAUUCUUUAAAUGAUGGAAUCGCCUCUCACCUCGCACUCUCUGACGCAUAAGGGUUCCAUAAGAAGCAGAUGAAACUAUAUUUAAGGAAUUAAAAGCAAAAUGAGGAUCAGAGUUGGAGGGAGUUCAAGAAUAACAUGAAAGCAAAACAAAAUGGAAGCAUCAUGGUGAGUCAACAUAAGCACCGAUCAUGACUUCUUCGAGCAGUGAACCAAAGUCGCUCUUCUUCGUGGACAAGUCCAAAGGUACCUCAUUCAUACCUUUGUUUUUUUGUUUUUUUGUUUCGAGUGACAUAAUUGUCUUUUUUCGCUUUCAGUAAUUCAAUUGCUUCUGUACAUCAAAUCCCAAUUUCAGUUUAGCUGUCGGAAUUUGGUUUUUUGAGUUUAGAUAAGGUCGCUUUGUGUAAUCCCUCUAAUUUUACAUUUGUAUUGUUAUGAAUUUCUUAUUUUAGUUUUGGAAUAGAUUUAUUUAUUUAUUACCAUUUAUUGUUUCGUAUGAAAGGGUCUUAUGCCAAUGUACAAAUUUAUAACAAUACGUUUCGAAGUUUUUGAAGUUCACAUUCCAUUAGCAGCUAAUGCAGAUGGGGUUGUGGAUUUAAUUUAUGGGAUAAUUUGUGUAGCCUGUAAUCAUUGACAAUGUUUUGUUUAUGACAUUUUUUAAUGGGUUUUAUUUUUCGUUUGGUAGAAUGCAUUUUAUUGUGGUUUCAGUGUUUAGGGUGAUAGAGUGGUGGAGAUGCAGAUGGAGGUGUGGGUAUUUUGGCUCUGUUAAAAGGAAAUUGCAGGUUUAUGGUUUGGUUUAAACAAUUGUGUGGCUGUGUGUUUGCUUUAGGUGAAUGUGUCAUGAUGCAAGGGAAACUAUGUUUCUAGGUUUAAAUUCUGUGUUUCUAUGUACUAAUUGGGUGAUUUCUCAAUGUUUCUAUUAGGUUAUUUCAUAUGGAUGCUAGAAGGGACAUAAUUUGCUGUGGUGGCAAUUACACUAUCCAAUUUGCUGCAUGAGGUUUCCAAAGAAGAUAGUAGCAGGAGAGCAGAAAAUUGCUGCAGGAGGACAUUCAUGUACAAGAAGUAGCUAAAAGGAUUUUAAUUGUGAUGAAUUUUUUGUUUUUUGUUUUCCUUUUUCAAUGGUUGCAGUACUAGCUUCAAUUACUAUAUUUUGGUGUAACGAAUUUUGUUUUAAAUAAAGACUUAUUCAAUUGCA
This is a long non-coding RNA of Prunus avium (sweet cherry), 1484 nucleotides long. RefSeq lists it as uncharacterized. The record is from RefSeq and is a predicted model, not a curated record. Lineage: Eukaryota; Viridiplantae; Streptophyta; Magnoliopsida; Rosales; Rosaceae.